AUGUCGCUGCUAUCGAAGUUACGGUUGGUCACUGUGGAUGUGACUGGUACUCUGCUUGCUUACAAAGGACGGCUUGGUGAUUACUACUGCAUGGCUGCUAAGGCUGCCGGAAAGCCAUGCCCUGAUUAUGAUCGAAUGCAUGAAGGCUUCAAGCUUGCAUACACUGAGAUGGCAAGGAAAUACCCAUGCUUUGGAUUUGCGGCAAAGAUGCCAACGAUCGAAUGGUGGAGGAUUUGCGUUAAGGAUUCAUUUGUUAAGGCUGGCUAUGAUUACGAUGAUGAGACAUUUGAGAAAGUGUUCAAGCGUAUUUAUUCUGCCUUCGGCUCCUCUGCGCCAUACUCAGUGUUUCCUGAUGCACAGCCCUUCAUGAGAGGGCUGAGGGAGAAGGGUAUCACAGUUGGCAUCGUCAGCAAUGCAGAGUACCGUUACAAAGAGGUCAUCUUGCCUGCGUUAGGGCUGAAUCAGGGCUCGGAGUGGGACUUCGGGGUGUUCUCAGGCAUCGUCGGCGUCGAGAAGCCCGACCCAACGAUCUACAAGAUCGCGCUAGAGAUGGCGGGGAACGUCGCACCAGAAGAGGCGCUCCACAUUGGCGACAGCUACCGCAAGGACUAUGUCCCCGCACGAAGCAUCGGGAUGCACGCGCUGCUCCUGGACCGGUUCAAGACCGCCGAAGCCGAGAGCUGGAGGAAGUCUGGCGCACCGGUCCUCCCUGACCUCGAGGCCGCGCAGGCAUGGCUCACCAAGAACCCGACCGAGGAACCCGCUGAGGAGCCACUAGGGGCCGCGCUGCUGCGCAGGAUGGCCGAGAAGCUCUGA
RNAcentral lists this ribosomal RNA (816 nucleotides) under Triticum aestivum (bread wheat). RNAcentral describes it as "partial small subunit ribosomal RNA". The record is from RNAcentral. Lineage: Eukaryota; Viridiplantae; Streptophyta; Magnoliopsida; Poales; Poaceae.